GAGGAAUAUUGGGCAAUGCCCGCAAGGGUGACCCAGCAACGCCGCGUGGAGGAUGAAUGUCGUAAGAUUGUAAACUCCUGUUAGAGGGGAAGAAUAGUACCGGUUGGACCGGUAUAUGACUGUACCCUCAGAGAAAGCCCCGGCUUACUACGUGCCAGCAGCCGCGGUAAUACGUAGGGGGCAAGCGUUGUCCGGAUUUACUGGGUGUAAAGGGCGCGCAGGCGGGAUAAAAAGUCAGUGGUGAAAUCCUACAGCUUAACUGUAGAACUGCCUUUGAUACUUUUAUUCUUGAGUUCGGGAGAGAGAGACGGAAUUCCAGGUGUAGUGGUGAAAUACGUAGAUAUCUGGAAGAACACCAGUUGCGAAGGCGGUCUCUUGAUCCGACACUGACGCUGAGGCGCGAAAGCGUGGGGAGCAAACA
RNAcentral lists this ribosomal RNA (421 nucleotides) under uncultured bacterium. RNAcentral describes it as "bacterial SSU rRNA". It matches the Rfam family "Bacterial small subunit ribosomal RNA", at positions 356 to 774 of the family's 1533-position model. The record is from RNAcentral.